UUUUAUGGAGAGUUUGAUCCUGGCUCAGGAUGAACGCUGGCGGCGUGCCUAAUACAUGCAAGUCGAGCGAACGGACGAGAAGCUUGCUUCUCUGAUGUUAGCGGCGGACGGGUGAGUAACACGUGGAUAACCUACCUAUAAGACUGGGAUAACUUCGGGAAACCGGAGCUAAUACCGGAUAAUAUUUUGAACCGCAUGGUUCAAAAGUGAAAGACGGUCUUGCUGUCACUUAUAGAUGGAUCCGCGCUGCAUUAGCUAGUUGGUAAGGUAACGGCUUACCAAGGCAACGAUGCAUAGCCGACCUGAGAGGGUGAUCGGCCACACUGGAACUGAGACACGGUCCAGACUCCUACGGGAGGCAGCAGUAGGGAAUCUUCCGCAAUGGGCGAAAGCCUGACGGAGCAACGCCGCGUGAGUGAUGAAGGUCUUCGGAU
Molecule: ribosomal RNA, 434 nt
Filed under: Staphylococcus aureus
Lineage: Bacteria; Bacillati; Bacillota; Bacilli; Caryophanales; Staphylococcaceae
Also listed under: 1 other name
Description: bacterial SSU rRNA
Rfam family: Bacterial small subunit ribosomal RNA
Source: RNAcentral